AAUAUUGGGCAAUGGGCGAAAGCCUGAUCCAGCCAUGCCGCGUGUGUGAAGAAGGUCUUCGGAUUGUAAAGCACUUUAAGUAGGGAGGAAGGUGUUGAAGCAAAUCCCUUCACUCUUUGACGUAACCAACAGAAUAAGCAUCGGCUAACUCGCUGCCAGCAGCCGCGGUAAUACAGAGGGUGCAAGCGUUAACCGGAAUUACUGGGCGUAAAGCGCGCGUAGGUGGUUCAGUAAGAUGGAAGUGAAAUCCCCGGGCUUAACCUGGGAACUGCUUUCAUAACUGCUGAGCUAGAGUACGGUAGAGGGUAGUGGAAUUUCCUGUGUGGCGGUGAAAUGCGUAGAUAUAGGAAGGAACACCAGUGGCGAAGGCGACUACCUGGACUGAUACUGACACUGAGGUGCGAAAGCGUGGGGAGCAAACA
RNAcentral lists this ribosomal RNA (422 nucleotides) under uncultured bacterium. Its description in RNAcentral is "partial 16S ribosomal RNA". It matches the Rfam family "Bacterial small subunit ribosomal RNA", at positions 360 to 774 of the family's 1533-position model. The record is from RNAcentral.